Molecule: ribosomal RNA, 264 nt
Filed under: uncultured archaeon
Lineage: Archaea
Description: partial 16S ribosomal RNA
Rfam family: Archaeal small subunit ribosomal RNA
Source: RNAcentral
CAGCCGUAAACUAUGCGCGUUAGGUGUAUCGGUGACCACGAGUCACCGAGGUGCCGAAGGGAAACCGUGAAACGUGCCGCCUGGGAAGUACGGGUCGCAAGGCUGAAACUUAAAGGAAUUGGCGGGGGAGCACCGACAACGGGUGGAGCCUGCGGUUUAAUUGGACUCAAACGCCGGGAAGCUCACCGGAUAAGACAGCGGAAUGAUUGCCGGGCUGAAGACUCUGCAUGACUAGCUGAGAGGAGGUGCAUGGCGUAGACGUCU